AUACGGAGGAUGCGAGCGUUAUCCGGAUUUAUUGGGUUUAAAGGGAGCGUAGGUGGGAUAUUAAGUCAGCUGUGAAAGUUUGGGGCUCAACCUUAAAAUUGCAGUUGAUACUGGUUUCCUUGAGUACGGUAUAGGUGGGCGGAAUUCGUGGUGUAGCGGUGAAAUGCUUAGAUAUCACGAAGAACUCCGAUCGCGAAGGCAGCUCACCGGGCCGGAACUGACACUGAUGCUCGAAAGUGCGGGUAUCAAACAGGAUUAGAUACCCUGGUAGUCCGCACAGUAAACGAUGAAUACUCGCUGUUUGCGAUACACUGUAAGCGGCCAAGCGAAAGCGUUAAGUAUUCCACCUGGGGAGUACGCCGGCAACGGUGAAACUCAAAGGAAUUGGCGGGG
RNAcentral lists this ribosomal RNA (393 nucleotides) under uncultured bacterium. Its description in RNAcentral is "partial 16S ribosomal RNA". It matches the Rfam family "Bacterial small subunit ribosomal RNA", at positions 523 to 918 of the family's 1533-position model. The record is from RNAcentral.